CUCAUGGCGUGAAGAGCUCCAUGGAUUCUCCUCCCAUCGACAGAUCCAAAUUGAUGGGACAUAACAAUGCACCUGUGUCUGUGAGAGUCUAUGUGAACCAACAUGCAAUUUGCAAUGCAAACCACAGAGUUUACAUAACAUCAGGAAGCUUUCAGUACCAUUACAGGCCGUCUUUAGCACUUCACCCACAAACAGUGUUUCCACAGCAUGUUCUGCACACCUUCUGCAUCUCAUAUCUACAAUAAUAGACAC
Sinocyclocheilus anshuiensis is the source of this 252-nucleotide long non-coding RNA. RefSeq lists it as uncharacterized. NCBI's taxonomy places the organism in Eukaryota, Metazoa, Chordata, Actinopteri, Cypriniformes, Cyprinidae. The transcript is spliced from 3 exons. The record is from RefSeq and is a predicted model, not a curated record.